Triticum urartu is the source of this 376-nucleotide non-coding RNA. The record is from RefSeq and is a predicted model, not a curated record. Lineage: Eukaryota; Viridiplantae; Streptophyta; Magnoliopsida; Poales; Poaceae.
GCGGCGCUGCAAGUGUUGCCCCCUCCUCCCCAAGGGCAAGGUGAAGGAAGGUGCAUGUGUGGUUCUUCUACAGCUCGCAGCGAGGAUUGCUGUGUCCAACCUGCACAAGAAUGCCAAGAAGUCCUUCUCGGAGACGAUUAAGGACAUGUACCUGCACUACAACGAUAGAUCUGGGCUGCUUCUUUGUGGCUUCCAAACUUGAAAUGUUAGUUUGGAAGUUAGUUUAGUUUUUUUGUUGUGGAUUCACAGCUUCUCACAUGUACCGUCCUCUUAGACCUUUAGAUUUCCAAAGAAACUAAAUGAAGAUAUGGUGGUAUGGUCUCAAUAGUACAACUUAAAGCCUUCCAUGCUUUAUAUUUUCUCUGAAAUUUGCUCU